GGACUACCAGGGUUUCUAAUCCUGUUUGAUCCCCACGCUUUCGUGCCUCAGCGUCAAUAAUAGUGUAGCGAGCUGCCUUCGCAAUGGGUGUUCUAUGUCAUAUCUAAGCAUUUCACCGCUACAUGACAUAUUCCGCUCACCUCCACUAUAUUCAAGACAAAUAGUAUCCACGGCAGUUUCCAAGUUAAGCUUGGAGAUUUCACCACGGACUUACCUGCCCGCCUACGCACCCUUUAAACCCAGUGAAUCCGGAUAACGCUUGCACCCUCCGUAUUACCGCGGCGGCUGGCAC
RNAcentral lists this ribosomal RNA (292 nucleotides) under uncultured Bacteroidota bacterium. RNAcentral's name for it is "uncultured Bacteroidetes bacterium partial 16S ribosomal RNA". Lineage: Bacteria; Pseudomonadati; Bacteroidota. The record is from RNAcentral.